RNAcentral lists this ribosomal RNA (738 nucleotides) under Meloidogyne sp. MN-2011. RNAcentral describes it as "eukaryotic LSU rRNA". It matches the Rfam family "Eukaryotic large subunit ribosomal RNA", at positions 359 to 980 of the family's 3401-position model. Lineage: Eukaryota; Metazoa; Nematoda; Chromadorea; Rhabditida; Meloidogynidae. The record is from RNAcentral.
GACCCAUUUUGAAAGAAGUUAAGAGGACGUGAACCGGUAAGGUGGAAACGGAUAGAGUCGGCGUAUCAUUCAAUUAUUCAUUUACAUUAUUUUUAUGUUGUGACCUCUGAGCUCCAGAUUGGGACAGAGGGAAUCAGCAUAAUUUUUUGUGGUGCAUUUACUUGAUUGGUGCUUGGGGAUGUUUGAGGCAUAUUUGUUUCCGACGUUUUGAGGCCAGCUUGCUGGUACCCAAACGGUGUUAGCAUUUUUUGUCUUGGGCAUUUGAGUAUGGCUCACGUGUAUUUAUUGGACAGAUCUGAGUGUAAGUUACGGUCGCAUGCGACACGUGCUUUUCAAUUAGUUCGGUCCAGUUAAUGCUCUCGUACUCGUUCCCCAUGUAAAAGCCGGUCAUCUAUCCGACCCGUCUUGAAACACGGACCAAGGAGUUUAUCGUGUGCGCAAGUUUUUGGGUGUUAAAAACUUAAAAGCGAAAUGAAAGUAAAUGACUCUUUAGAGUCUGAUGUGCGAUCUUGUAAAAAAGUGUAGCAUGGCCCCAUUCUAACUGUUUACAGUAGGGUGGCGGAAGAGCGUACGCGGUGAGACCCGAAAGAUGGUGAACUAUUCCUGAGCAGGACGAAGCCAGAGGAAACUCUGGUGGAAGUCCGAAGCGGUUCUGACGUGCAAAUCGAUCGUCUGACUUGGGUAUAGGGGCGAAAGACUAAUCGAACCAUCUAGUAGCUGGUUUCUUUUCAGAAAAAA